GCCUUCAUAGUGUAAUGGCCAGCACACUUGGCACAUAUUCGAGAGGUCCAGGUUCAAGUCCCAGCGAGGGCA
This 72-nucleotide transfer RNA is filed under the name Stegodyphus mimosarum. It matches the Rfam family "tRNA". Rfam says of the family: Transfer RNA (tRNA) molecules are approximately 80 nucleotides in length. Their secondary structure includes four short double-helical elements and three loops (D, anti-codon, and T loops). The record is from Rfam by way of RNAcentral. Lineage: Eukaryota; Metazoa; Arthropoda; Arachnida; Araneae; Eresidae.